RNAcentral lists this unclassified non-coding RNA (1112 nucleotides) under Hevea brasiliensis (rubber tree). Lineage: Eukaryota; Viridiplantae; Streptophyta; Magnoliopsida; Malpighiales; Euphorbiaceae. The record is from RNAcentral.
AUUUUCAUCACUUCCAUCAGUAUCCUGAGACUGUGUUGAGCUUGAGAAUUCUUCUAUGUCGUCAUCUCCAACCUCAUAUACUUUCAUCUUUGCCUUAGUUACUGCCCCAGCUUUUUUCCCUUCCUUUGCUUUCCCUCUCUUUCUAGGUCCUCCAGCCUGAUCUAUCCUCCUUCUCGAAUUAGCAAGCUGCACCUUCUGAUCAGAAACUUUUGAUGAUGGAGAUUUCCUUGACUUUCUUGGCUCAUUCUUUUCUUCUACUUUCCUUUUACCAUGCGCUUUAUUGAAUAAUGUAGAAAUAGUGGCUUGAACGAGUGAACCGUGAUUACUGUGCGACUCAGAGUGUUCAUUAGAUGUUCUUAAGACAGCAGAUUCCGACAGCUUCUUAAACUUGGUCCCCAACAUGGCACAAGCUUGAAUUUUUCCAGAAGAAUAAUUCCCUUCAAUAGCACCCUCAUUUUCAAAAUCAAGAACUAUGGCGGAAGAAGUAUUAGAUUUUACAUUCUUUUCUUCUUCUCCUUCUUCCUUAGCUACAUCAGAAUGCUUUCAACAGAAUCAUCUCCGGAAGAAGCUUCUGCAAACUUGAAUGUUUUCCCAGCAGUUCGCUCAGAAUGUCGAGUUUGUGCAGUUUCCAUCAAAUCAUUCAAAUUGUUUUUAUCAUCGGAUAGAUCAUUUUCAAGCUCAGUUUCAGGGGUCUCAAUUUCUACAUAUUUAAUACCACUUUUGUGAACAACUUCCUUAUUUACAGAUGCCGCUCCUGCACCACCUUUAAAGUCAUACUCAACUUGUUGUCCCUGUCCCUCAAACAUUUGCUUGGGAAAAUCAAGUUGGGCCUCUUCUGGGUUCUCUUCUUUCGUUCCAAUCCACCACGCAUCAGAAAACACAAUCAUGCUAUCAAAGUAAUCUUCACACAAAACAUUCUUGCCACCCCUAGAGAACUGCAACGUUAGGUAUCUAUUCUUCGGAUAGACAAUGGUCCCAAACAGCUUCAUUUCACCCUGGGGAAAAUGGAGAUAGAGAAUGGGAUUUCUAGUUCCCAAAUCCUUGAGGUCUCCAAUCUUGCCGCCAGCAGCAAUAGGAGCAAGAAAACCAGGAAAAGAAAAGAGGAAGCGAUU